RNAcentral lists this long non-coding RNA (361 nucleotides) under Trifolium pratense (red clover). RNAcentral describes it as "long non-coding RNA (TPRA_LNC005485)". The record is from RNAcentral. Lineage: Eukaryota; Viridiplantae; Streptophyta; Magnoliopsida; Fabales; Fabaceae.
GCCAAUUAGCUAAAGAAAACUUGCCAAAAGUAUAUCAUAUAGACCACAUUGCAAGAAAGAAUGGCUUGCAUUGUUCCAAUCCUAAUACUUUCCAUAUUCAGCAAGUUAAUUUCAGUAUCGAGUACCAAACGAGGUUCUGCAUAUGUUAUAUAAUUCCAGUAUAACUGCGUUUCUUGCAUUUCAAGUCAACCCAUUGAAAAGAAGUUUACAAUCAAUAAAGGAUUGUUUCGGUAAUUUGCUAACACCGAUAUAUUUUCAUUAGAGGGCAAGCCUUCGUAGAACAGUAAAGUUGCUGCCUUGUGACCUUGAAGGUCACGAGUCCAAAGCCUAAAACAACCUCCCCAUCUCCUCUUGCGGAGAU